Molecule: RNA transcript, 2098 nt
Organism: Aquila chrysaetos chrysaetos
Lineage: Eukaryota; Metazoa; Chordata; Aves; Accipitriformes; Accipitridae
Gene: NIBAN3
Gene name: niban apoptosis regulator 3
Exons: 14
Source: RefSeq, a predicted model, not a curated record
AUGAACCGAUGAUCUGGAGGGGAGAGAGACGGAAAAGAGCUGCCGGGCGGAGAAGCCGGCAUGUGGGGUGUCCCCUCACCACCACCGAGCCAGGCCUCGGAGCCCGGCCGGCAGCGAGCGCGCUGAGGCCGAAGAUGGGAGGAAGGUGUUCGAGCCCUCUGAGCGGGAGACAGCGCAGGUAUCUGAGAGGUCGCGCAGACGCCACGAUGAAGAACUUCGUGCCCUAUUACCGGAGGCAGCUGGCGACUGCCCUUCUGAGACGGGUCUCGGGGGAGCUGGACCCCCAAGGGAAACCGGCCCCGCAGCUCCUGCCGAGAGAGCUCCGGGGGCCGCCCGACGCCGCUCUGCACGAGGGAUUGCUCUCCCAGUAUGACGGCGAUUCCCGCAGCUGGCAGGAGAAUUACUUCAUUCUGCUUGGAGAUUUUACCCUGCGGUGGUUCGAAAGCGAAGAGGCCCUGAGGAAAGGCUGCGAGCCCAGAGGCUCGACCGCUCUCUCCGGCUACCUGCUGCUGUCUUCACCGAGCGAAUACGCCGAAUCGCUCGGCGAUCUGUGCCAAGGACUCGCAGGUGGCAGCCCCUUCGCCGACCCGCCAGGAGAGUUUCUGUUUUUCCUCUACCAUCCCUUCCGGAGGCAUUUCUGCUUCUGCGCAGACUCGGCGGAAUCGCGACGGAUCUGGAAGGCCGCUCUUCGGGAUGGCAUUCGUUACCGCAGCACGGAACUACAGAGGAGGGAUUCUCUGGAAGCGGAGGCGUUCCUCGAGGCUGUGCGGUUUUACAGGCAAGAGAGAGGCCGCUACGGGGCAGGGGAUCUUCUCCUGGGGCCGGAACCUGAGAUCCUCGGAAACGUGCUGAUGGAGGAUUUGCUGCCGGUGCUGCGCUCUCAGGUGCUCCCGAGCAUCAGAGGGUCAGAAAGGAGGCGGCGGCAGCUGUGGCUCCAGUUUCUCCAGGAGGUUUACGCCCUGAUCCUCAGCGAAAUCGCCAGCGAAUUCGAAGGUUUUCAGAAGGAGAAAGAAAAACUACAGACGGAGCUGGAGAAGAAAAUUCGCCCUGACCUGGAUCAGAUGCUGACUCUGAAGGAUCAGAUAGCCAGCAAACUCCAAGCUGCGGUGCAGAGCCCGGCGGAGUCGUGCUGCGGCCGGAGCGUGGAACCUCACCUGGAGUGCGUGAUGGAGGAACUCAUGCGUCCCGUCAGCUCGGGAGUCGAGGCGGUUCGCUCGCUCUUUGCCCAGAGGGUUGAUGAGAUGAUCGGACUCGUCCGGAGCUCUCCCGUCGCGGUCCUGCAGAAAGAGCUUCUGGCGCUGGGGAGAACGUCGUGGCAGCCCCAAGUCAUGCACCUGUGCUACGAGGAGGCCGACCUGUAUCGAGAAAGCCUGCGAGGGCUGGAGGAGCGGUUCGGCUUCCGCGGCGUGACGAGCCUGGUCCUCGGCGCGCAGAACCUCAUGCAGCAGCUGAUGGAGAAUGCCACCCACACCUUCCUGCAGCUCUCGCAGCAGCACCUCGGCCAGGCGGCCGGCCGGCGCCGGCUCACCCAAAUGCUGGAGAAAGUCAAAGAGCGGGUGCUGAAGAAGUUUGACUACGACAGCAGCUCCGUCCGGAAGCGGUUCGCUCAGGAGUGGCUGGUCCGGAUUUUUCUUCCUUUUCUACUGAAGCAUUUGGAGUCCGGGUGUAAGCUGCGUCCUGGCGCUGAGGAACCGUCUCUCCGCAGAAAAGAGCUUUUAAUUCAAGCCGCCACGGCGCAGGCUGCCAAACCGCAGCUCUCUCCUAGACGGCAUCCCGAAAAUCUCCUCCAAACGGACACAACUCAUGUUCUGUUCCGUGCCGCCGUGGGUGUGACUGUCCUUUAGCUGUUUCCCAGAACAGAACAUUCUCCUUUAUUUUAUUCCCUUUUUUUUUUUUUUUUUUUUUUUUUACAUCUUCCCAUUCGCUGUGCCGGAACGCUGGCUGGAGCGAUUCCCUCCGUAGCGAGUCCCAGGGGUGUUUUUGGAGGAGCUGCCGCAGUACGAGAGCUUCGUGUUCGCCGACUUCAGUGGCAUCAUUAACCUGGAAAAUAUUUACGAAGAAACAGUCCUGGCCGUGCUGCUGCGGGCUGUCGGCAGAG